This 1486-nucleotide ribosomal RNA is filed under the name uncultured bacterium. RNAcentral describes it as "bacterial SSU rRNA". It matches the Rfam family "Bacterial small subunit ribosomal RNA". The record is from RNAcentral.
GACGAACGCUGGCGGCGUGCCUAAUACAUGCAAGUCGAGCGAGCGGAACUAACAGAUUUACUUCGGUAAUGACGUUAGGAAAGCGAGCGGCGGAUGGGUGAGUAACACGUGGGGAACCUGCCCCAUAGUCUGGGAUACCACUUGGAAACAGGUGCUAAUACCGGAUAAGAAAGCAGAUCGCAUGAUCAGCUUUUAAAAGGCGGCGUAAGCUGUCGCUAUGGGAUGGCCCCGCGGUGCAUUAGCUAGUUGGUAAGGUAAAGGCUUACCAAGGCGAUGAUGCAUAGCCGAGUUGAGAGACUGAUCGGCCACAUUGGGACUGAGACACGGCCCAAACUCCUACGGGAGGCAGCAGUAGGGAAUCUUCCACAAUGGACGCAAGUCUGAUGGAGCAACGCCGCGUGAGUGAAGAAGGUUUUCGGAUCGUAAAGCUCUGUUGUUGGUGAAGAAGGAUAGAGGUAGUAACUGGCCUUUAUUUGACGGUAAUCAACCAGAAAGUCACGGCUAACUACGUGCCAGCAGCCGCGGUAAUACGUAGGUGGCAAGCGUUGUCCGGAUUUAUUGGGCGUAAAGCGAGCGCAGGCGGAAGAAUAAGUCUGAUGUGAAAGCCCUCGGCUUAACCGAGGAACUGCAUCGGAAACUGUUUUUCUUGAGUGCAGAAGAGGAGAGUGGAACUCCAUGUGUAGCGGUGGAAUGCGUAGAUAUAUGGAAGAACACCAGUGGCGAAGGCGGCUCUCUGGUCUGCAACUGACGCUGAGGCUCGAAAGCAUGGGUAGCAAACAGGAUUAGAUACCCUGGUAGUCCAUGCCGUAAACGAUGAGUGCUAAGUGUUGGGAGGUUUCCGCCUCUCAGUGCUGCAGCUAACGCAUUAAGCACUCCGCCUGGGGAGUACGACCGCAAGGUUGAAACUCAAAGGAAUUGACGGGGGCCCGCACAAGCGGUGGAGCAUGUGGUUUAAUUCGAAGCAACGCGAAGAACCUUACCAGGUCUUGACAUCUAGUGUCAUUUGUAGAGAUACAAAGUUCCCUUCGGGGACGCUAAGACAGGUGGUGCAUGGCUGUCGUCAGCUCGUGUCUCGAGAUGUUGGGUCAAGUCCCGCAACGAGCGCAACCCUUGUUAUUAGUUGCCAGCAUUAAGUUGGGCACUCUAAUGAGACUGCCGGUGACAAACCGGAGGAAGGUGGGGACGACGUCAGAUCAUCAUGCCCCUUAUGACCUGGGCUACACACGUGCUACGAUGGACGGUACAACGAGUUGCGAACUCGCGAGAGUAAGCUAAUCUCUUAAAGCCGUUCUCAGUUCGGACUGUAGGCUGCAACUCGCCUACACGAAGUCGGAAUCGCUAGUAAUCGCGGAUCAGCAUGCCGCGGUGAAUACGUUCCCGGGCCUUGUACACACCGCCCGUCACACCAUGGAAGUUUGCAAUGCCCAAAGUCCGUGGCCUAACCAUUUGGAGGGAACCGCCUAAGGCAGGGCAGAUGACUGGGGUG